Molecule: long non-coding RNA, 167 nt
Organism: Solanum pennellii
Lineage: Eukaryota; Viridiplantae; Streptophyta; Magnoliopsida; Solanales; Solanaceae
Exons: 2
Source: RefSeq, a predicted model, not a curated record
CCAUUGUUAAGAUGUGAAUUUUCUUUUGCUUCUUAAUAAAGUUGGAAAGAAAAUUUGUUCUCAUCAUCAAAUUGCAACUCUCUGCUGAAAAAAUUCAUUGUUAAGAGAUAUAUAUGGAGGCUAAUGAGGCUUCUUGUGAGAUCAGUUCGUCUAUCUCGAGAAAACGA